Long non-coding RNA from Hevea brasiliensis (rubber tree), 1189 nucleotides. RefSeq lists it as uncharacterized. NCBI's taxonomy places the organism in Eukaryota, Viridiplantae, Streptophyta, Magnoliopsida, Malpighiales, Euphorbiaceae. The record is from RefSeq and is a predicted model, not a curated record. The transcript has 2 exons.
AAAAGGAAAUAUAGAUGAAAGAAAAUAUAUACGUGGCAAAUACUUAUUUCUUUAGAAUAAAGGAGAAUAUAUAUAACCUCAAUGCUUCAAUGUGUUAAUGUGAGACUAUGUAUUAGCAUUAAACAACAUUUAGUAUUAAGUAAUUUACAUCAAGAUAAAGACAGAAUUUUUAUCUCUAGAAGCCUCUUCCUCUUAGCCUCUUGGAAAAGCUGAGCGUCAUCUUCGGUGGUUUUUCCUUAUCUUUCAGGAUAAGGGAAGGCUUGCCUCCGACUAGGUUUUUUAGGGUCUCUCUCUUUUCUUGGUUGGUUUGUAUAGUUUUGUUUUGUGUUUCGUUUUGCACAUCUGGGUUCUAACUGGUGAGGAUGGUUUGAAAGAGGAUCUGCUUUGAGGAAGAGGUGGUUUGAUUUGUUGUGUGGUUCCUGCUUCCUCGGUUUCGUUUCCCCUAUUUGGUGUUUGGCUUGUUGCUUUUGGAGAAGUUGUGGAAAGGUUGGUGAUUUGUAGAUCUAGCGUUUACAUGAGAUAGUUGGCGUCCAUGGUUAUAGGAGACUACGAUGUCAUGGCCCUGCCUUUCUUUCUCCUAAAGCGAUAGUGGUGUCCUGUGAGUUUAUCUUGAAGAGUUGAUCUGUCUUUGCUUUGGUUGUGGAGUAUCUUCUUCCUAGCUUUGGCUAGUUUAGUUAUGACUGCUAGUUUUUGGAGGAUGGUCUCUACUGAUUUGGCUCUGGUGGGUUAGUCUUGCUCGGUUCUAGUGGACGGUAGUUUUUUGGAUUGCUGAGCCAAGUUUGCUUCAGCCAAGUUUGCUGUCAAGAAUUGGGCUUGUUGUGGGGCCCCUACAUUGGGUAGGGUUGUGUUCUGAACUGCUGGAUCUACCAAGAAGGCAAUAAUGGACGAGACUCAAAACCAAAGAAUCUUGGAGUGAAGAAAUUUGGUGGGGAGGUAAUUUUUUUGGCGAUGAAAAUCGCUUGCGUUUGUUAUGCUAGACGCACAGGCUUAGCGGCCGCAAGUGGGUGCAUGUUGAACCCAAGGAUGGAUAUAAACUUCACCCAGUCUAUGAAAAAGCAAGUGCUGCCUCAUCUCAGCUCAAGACACGCUCUUGAAUUGUAUUUUUAGGUGCAUCUACAACUUGGUUUUUCACAUUUGAAUAACUAAAACAGUAAUAUUUGGAAUCAAUCUUCAUAUUACUUCGUACUAA